Heterocephalus glaber (naked mole-rat) is the source of this 1521-nucleotide long non-coding RNA. Lineage: Eukaryota; Metazoa; Chordata; Mammalia; Rodentia; Bathyergidae. The record is from Ensembl.
CAGCUCACAGCCUACCCAGCACCUUCGAGUCCUCCUCCACCCAACGGGCUCCCCGAGGCUCAUAUUUCAACACACUCACAAGGCCCUUCCAACGUGCCCCUCAAGUUAUGAGUUGGAAAUGCCAGCAGGAAUGGAAAAUCCAGGGCACAGCCAGGAGCGCAGUCCGGCGAUACCGUAGAGCAACACAGCCUACCUGGCCUGUCACAGUAAGAGCUUUUUUGGAGUGCUAAUGCGAUCCCAUCGUUGCACUGCUCCUGUUUCAGUGACACAGCACAGGGACCCGACUCCUCCCUACCACCAAGCGGGCAGCAAGAUUGGACAGAGAGGAACUGUAUCUCAUCCAACCUCUCAUCCCUGUUAAAUCGAUUUCCUUCUGUAAGCCUUCUCCCCGAUGCCAGCCUCAGAGUCCUGGAGAGGUCACAGAUUAACAGCGAAAGGUCAGAAGCUGUUCUGACUUCUCGGCCAGGCUGCUCCCUUGUAGAAACAACUAAGACAAAGAGGGCCAAAGGAAAGAACUGCUGACAAGGGCUGCUGCAGUCUGGUAAAACAGUGGAAAGGGGAACAGAUUCGAGCACAACUGGCACUGAGAAUGCCCAAGCCACAGCGCUGCUGAUGACAGCCACCACUCGGCAGAGGCGGUGCUGGCUCACCAAGGAAAAUGCAAGUCAUGGCCACAGGGAGGGGAGGCUGGGCCACUCCAGAGAGUGCCUCUCCGAGCUGUGGCACAUCUGAAACCAAAGCCUUAAGCAGAAAGUAGAGGUGCCAGGAAUUAUGGGUGAGGGAGCAUGUGGAGAAAGAGGGCUCACAGACUUAAGGGACACAAAAAUAUCUGCCAUGAUGGCUCUCCUGUGACUUUAGAAUAUGAAGGUUUCAGACAUAAUCCCCAGAGACCUUUCAAAGUGUAGAGCACCAAAUAUGUACCUGUUUAAAAAAUGUAGGCUAAUAGUUCUGUAACCCUAGUUAUUCUCGCUUUUGUGAGAGGAAAUUGGAAUCGAGAGGAGUUGGAAUUGAAUGGUGGCUCUGAGCUACUAACUUUUCUUCCAGAUAGCAAGCAUCUAGGAAAUAACUGAUCAAAAGUAGUUAUGGGAAUGCUCAGCCCUGAGAACCAUUCAACCACCUAAAGGUCAGUCUGGAAAAUGCUUCCUUCUGAACUAAACUUCCUUUAACUCUCACCCAAUAGCUCUCUCAUUCUUGCCGUAUCUGAACUCACCUUCACUGAGCCUUUAUUUCCUAGAUCCUUCUCUUAUCUCCCUAUCCCUCAGUGUCCUUCUGGCUUCUUUUGCUCCCUACUCAGCUAGGAAAUCAUCAGAAAUGAUCUAAACAGGAUUUUACCAGAGCUUUAGAACUGCUAACCCCACAGCUGCCUCCUGGGGCUGGAUUAUCUGUCACUAAAUUUGGGACUUCCUUACUUUUUCAUCACUCUGUUUCACUCCUGCCAAAGAAUGUGGGACAAACAAUUAAAGCACAUGGAUGUCACCUCAUGUGUCAUUUGCUGUAAUACCUGGCUUAACUCACUCCUUA